ACACUCCUGCGGGAGGCAGCAGUGGGGAAUAUUGGACAAUGGGCGCAAGCCUGAUCCAGCCAUGCCGCGUGAGUGAUGAAGGCCCUAGGGUUGUAAAGCUCUUUCACCGGUGAAGAUAAUGACGGUAACCGGAGAAGAAGCCCCGGCUAACUUCGUGCCAGCAGCCGCGGUAAUACGAAGGGGGCUAGCGUUGUUCGGAUUUACUGGGCGUAAAGCGCACGUAGGCGGACUAUUAAGUCAGGGGUGAAAUCCCGGGGCUCAACCCCGGAACUGCCUUUGAUACUGGUAGUCUUGAGUUCGGGAGAGGUGAGUGGAAUUCCGAGUGUAGAGGUGAAAUUCGUAGAUAUUCGGAGGAACACCAGUGGCGAAGGCGGCUCACUGGCUCGAUACUGACGCUGAGGUGCGAAAGCGUGGGGAGCAAACAGGAUUAGAAACCCCAGUAGUCCCA
RNAcentral lists this ribosomal RNA (448 nucleotides) under uncultured organism. Its description in RNAcentral is "partial 16S ribosomal RNA". It matches the Rfam family "Bacterial small subunit ribosomal RNA", at positions 333 to 797 of the family's 1533-position model. The record is from RNAcentral.